AAACUUUCAACAACGGAUCUCUUGGUUCUGGCAUCGAUGAAGAACGCAGCGAAAUGCGAUAAGUAAUGUGAAUUGCAGAAUUCAGUGAAUCAUCGAAUCUUUGAACGCACAUUGCGCCCGCCAGUAUUCUGGCGGGCAUGCCUGUUCGAGCGUCAUUUCAACCCUC
This 166-nucleotide ribosomal RNA is filed under the name Clavicipitaceae sp. GZU-ECBCWS1-5. RNAcentral describes it as "Paecilomyces sp. GZU-ECBCWS1-5 5.8S ribosomal RNA". It matches the Rfam family "5.8S ribosomal RNA". From Rfam's summary of the family: 5.8S ribosomal RNA (5.8S rRNA) is a component of the large subunit of the eukaryotic ribosome. It is transcribed by RNA polymerase I as part of the 45S precursor that also contains 18S and 28S rRNA. Functionally, it is thought that 5.8S rRNA may be involved in ribosome translocation. RNAcentral also lists the same sequence under 1 other name. Lineage: Eukaryota; Fungi; Ascomycota; Sordariomycetes; Hypocreales; Clavicipitaceae. The record is from RNAcentral.